This 712-nucleotide long non-coding RNA is filed under the name Panicum hallii. Its description in RNAcentral is "long non-coding RNA (PHAL_LNC000124)". Lineage: Eukaryota; Viridiplantae; Streptophyta; Magnoliopsida; Poales; Poaceae. The record is from RNAcentral.
AUUGUCAAGAACACACUUAUAAACAGUACCAUAUCUUCCACUUCCUAGCAAGUUUGAUUCUGAAAACCCAUCGGUUCCUUUGGAUAAUGCAAGGUAUGGAAUUCGUUCAAAUUUCUCACCAGCAAUUGGAGAUUGUGCUCUUUCUUUCUGCUUUUGUUUGAGCUUUUUGCGGAGCAUCCAAACAAGAAGAAUAAUUGAAACUGACAAUGAGACAGUUACAGUUGUUGUCAGAGAAAUUAUAAGGGACUUAAACUUCUUUUUUCUGCCCUUUCUUGUAGGUCUUGUGGAGCAAGGUGCCAAGUGAAGUUGAGGUGCUCCACUGCACAACUCAGUAUUCCCAGCGACUGAUUUGUAAGAUAGGUUUCUGAAUGCACCUCCAUCUGGCACCUUGCCUUGCAGGUUAUUGAAAGAUAUAUCCAAUAUAGACAGUGAUGUCAAAUUCUGUAGAAUUUCUGGGAUUGGCCCUGACAAGUUGUUGUGUGCUAGGUACAGCUGUUGCAGAGCUCCAAUGUUACCGAUGGCAUCAGGGAUCCCACCAGACAAAUUGUUCAUGGUCAGAUUCAAUACAAUAAGUCCUUUAAUGUUUCUCAGAGAUUGAGGUAUGCUUCCUUCAAACGAGUUCUUAUCCAGUAACAGUUUUUCAAAAACGAUGCAAUUUCCGAUGCUGUGAGGUAUUUGGCCAGACAACUGGUUACCUGACAGGAUCAAUUGG